GGGAAAUGGGCAUGGGCAGCACGUGUGAGGGAAAUAGCCGAACUAAUAAUUCAACAAAUGCUAAAAUACUUUUCCCCCAGUUCUCCAAGGCGAAACCUCCCUGCUCAAAUCCCUGAAACGACGAAGUGAUUGGACAUCCGAUCCUCAGCAGCUGCUCUUCUAGCCAAGUUUCUGAAAUUCCAACCUCGAUGCUCGUCUUCUCGCCGUCGAAUUCCUACAUCGAUUGUGCAAGUUUAGUCGCCGACCUUCAAAUCUCGCUUGACCGCGUUUCGCCGUCGUUGCCAACAUUAAGGCAGCUUUGAUAUCAAUCUCUGACUAAAUGUGGUGAUUCUGCUGUGUAACUGAGAACACACGGUUCUUAGUAGUCGAAACUUUUAGAGUUGUUUGGAUGCUAUUGUUUGAAAAUGAAUCUUGUAGGAAUUUGCUCAAUAUAUGGUCCAGCAAUGCAUUUGUAAAUGAGUCCGUGCAUUCUGUUCGUGUUUUGGCCAUGUAUUGUUGGAACUAAUUGAGUUCUUUGUUUUUUUGAAAUUGUCAUCAUUUUUGCAGUUAAAGUUGUU
Molecule: long non-coding RNA, 557 nt
Filed under: Olea europaea subsp. europaea
Lineage: Eukaryota; Viridiplantae; Streptophyta; Magnoliopsida; Lamiales; Oleaceae
Source: RNAcentral